UACGUAGGUGGCGAGCGUUGUCCGGAAUUACUGGGCGUAAAGGGCGCGUAGGCGGUUAAUUAAGUCAGAUGUGAAACCCCGGGGCUUAACUCCGGGCUUGCAUUUGAAACUGAAUAGCUUGAGUGCAGGAGAGGUAAGUGGAAUUCCUAGUGUAGCGGUGAAAUGCGUAGAUAUUAGGAGGAACACCAGUGGCGAAGGCGACUUACUGGACUGUAACUGACGCUGAGGCGCGAAAGCGUGGGGAGCAAAC
This 250-nucleotide ribosomal RNA is filed under the name uncultured bacterium. RNAcentral's name for it is "partial 16S ribosomal RNA". It matches the Rfam family "Bacterial small subunit ribosomal RNA", at positions 524 to 773 of the family's 1533-position model. The record is from RNAcentral.